Acanthaster planci (crown-of-thorns starfish) is the source of this 1407-nucleotide long non-coding RNA. RefSeq lists it as uncharacterized. The record is from RefSeq and is a predicted model, not a curated record. NCBI's taxonomy places the organism in Eukaryota, Metazoa, Echinodermata, Asteroidea, Valvatida, Acanthasteridae.
CAUGUCACAUUUUUUCAAAUUAUUUCAACUGUUUUUAGCUUCAUUUGAAAUCCUUGAAGAUACACCAUUCAAAUUUGGAACACUCUUCUCUUUUUGCAAAACUCUUUUUUCCAUUAAUUAUAGUAAAAUUGAUUGAUUAUAGAUUGACUAUAGUAAAACAUGCUUUAAGCCAAAUUGUGUUUCCAAAACCUUGGGUUUGACACAUUUCACAACCAAUUUUCAACCCAAUGAAAUUCAUAUACAACAAUGUGUCUCUGAAGAUCACAGUGCAAAACUAAACAAAGAAAAGGAAUUGUUUCAAACACGUGCCCCUUUCACAUUUUUUCUUGAUGUAACAAACAUUUUCUUAUGAUUUAUCCCAAGCCAAGUCCACCUGUUGAUUUACUAGAAGAGAAAGAUGACGGGAAACUCAUGACCAUCCAGGAAGAUGUGUUGGUAGCAAUGCUGAGGGCUAUAGUACUGGAUCUAAUGGAAGAUCAGUGAACUGCCGGGCUCUUGAACAGAUGAGAUGGGACAACCAGCCAGCAACUGGUCAGGAAGCUGAUGUCUGUGACAGUGUUUGAGUGAAGCGUCUGGUUUUGGUAGAUGGCAUGCCAUUCUGGAGCAUUUAGCAGCUGAAGAAACCUCUGGCAGCUGGAGUGAUACAACCAUACCAUGAUGUCCUUAACAGUCUUGAAUACUAGCCACUUUUUAGUUUGUUAUUGAGUGGAAAUCAUGUAACACGCAUUGUGUUAACUUUGUAUGUAGUUAACUUGUCCCACUGGGAUACAAUUCAUUUUGCUCUGACGGCAACCGUGGUAAUAUGUUGGCAAAGAAGCUUAUUUCAAUCUUUAUCAAGCUGGAUUUAGUAUUCAGAUUUCCAUCUUGCCAGUUUCUUACAUGAUUAACUACAGUACUUCUCAUGGCUGUGAUUCAAUUCCUUUGGCUUUUAUUUUCACAAUAAAUUAAGCACUUAUUUUAAACUUGUUUUUGCUUGAAGACAUGCCCUCAUCCUUACAUUGGCCUUUUCAUCAGUGAAUUGUUUGAAGAUGUCAUUUUUAUAUCCACUGAUAUUUAUUAGUUGCAUUAUCUUUCCAGUUGAUGGUGAAAUUGGUAACUGUGUGAACUUCCGAACUAAAUGCACAUGUUGGUCUGCAGAAAUGUUUGGUAUUCUUAAAAGUUUGGCUUUUGAUAAAAUGCUGCCUGCAAUGACUUCCAAUUUGCUAACCCUCUUCCUCAUUGCUAUCUAGAUUUCAACUUCAGUGUUCAUAUUUUAAAAACUUUGUUUCUGUGAAAUCUUGAGUUUAGCGUACUACAGCAAAUGGGAUCAGAAACAAAACGUAAUUUUUCAACAACUGAAUGGACUUUGUUUACAAUAUUCAAAUUGUGUAUAUAUGGUCAAUUCUGAAAUAAAUGUUUCAUAAGGAA